GGCAGGCGAAUAAGGGGAGGGCAAGCCUGGUGUCAGCCGCCGCGGUAAUACCAGCUCCUCGAGUGGUCGGGGCGAUUAUUGGGCCUAAAGCAUCCGUAGCCGGUUCCGUAGGUCCUCUGUUAAAUCCAACCGCUUAACGGUUGACCUGCAGAGGAUACCGCGGGACUAGGAGGCGGGAGAGGCGGGCGGUACUCCGCGUGUAGGGGUAAAAUCCUUUGAUCCGCGGAAGACCACCAGUGGCGAAGGCGGUCCGCCAGAACGCGCUCGACGGUGAGGGAUGAAAGCUGGGGGAGCGAACCGGAUUAGAUACCCGGGUAGUCCCAGCCGUAAGCGAUGCUAGCUAGAUGAUUCAUUCGCAAGUCGCGAAUGAAGUGUCGCAGGGAAGCCGUUAAGCUAGCCGCCUGGGGAGUACGGUCGCAAGACUGAAACUUAAAGGA
Molecule: ribosomal RNA, 437 nt
Filed under: uncultured archaeon
Lineage: Archaea
Description: bacterial SSU rRNA
Rfam family: Archaeal small subunit ribosomal RNA
Source: RNAcentral